This 781-nucleotide ribosomal RNA is filed under the name uncultured Mycobacterium sp. RNAcentral's name for it is "bacterial SSU rRNA". It matches the Rfam family "Bacterial small subunit ribosomal RNA", at positions 557 to 1336 of the family's 1533-position model. Lineage: Bacteria; Bacillati; Actinomycetota; Actinomycetes; Mycobacteriales; Mycobacteriaceae. The record is from RNAcentral.
GGCGUAAAGAGCUCGUAGGUGGUUUGUCGCGUUGUUCGUGAAAUCUCACGGCUUAACUGUGAGCGUGCGGGCGAUACGGGCAGACUUGAGUACUGCAGGGGAGACUGGAAUUCCUGGUGUAGCGGUGGAAUGCGCAGAUAUCAGGAGGAACACCGGUGGCGAAGGCGGGUCUCUGGGCAGUAACUGACGCUGAGGAGCGAAAGCGUGGGGAGCGAACAGGAUUAGAUACCCUGGUAGUCCACGCCGUAAACGGUGGGUACUAGGUGUGGGUUUCCUUCCUUGGGAUCCGUGCCGUAGCUAACGCAUUAAGUACCCCGCCUGGGGAGUACGGCCGCGAGGCUAAAACUCAAAGAAAUUGACGGGGGCCCGCACAAGCGGCGGAGCAUGUGGAUUAAUUCGAUGCAACGCGAAGAACCUUACCUGGGUUUGACAUGCACAGGACGCCGGCAGAGAUGUCGGUUCCCUUGUGGCCUGUGUGCAGGUGGUGCAUGGCUGUCGUCAGCUCGUGUCGUGAGAUGUUGGGUUAAGUCCCGCAACGAGCGCAACCCUUGUCUCAUGUUGCCAGCGGGUAAUGCCGGGGACUCGUGAGAGACUGCCGGGGUCAACUCGGAGGAAGGUGGGGAUGACGUCAAGUCAUCAUGCCCCUUAUGUCCAGGGCUUCACACAUGCUACAAUGGCCGGUACAAAGGGCUGCGAUGCCGCGAGGAUAAGCGAAUCCUUUUAAAGCCGGUCUCAGUUCGGAUCGGGGUCUGCAACUCGACCCCGUGAAGUCGGAGUCGCU